Molecule: long non-coding RNA, 560 nt
Organism: Bactrocera latifrons
Lineage: Eukaryota; Metazoa; Arthropoda; Insecta; Diptera; Tephritidae
Exons: 3
Source: RefSeq, a predicted model, not a curated record
AUGGACGUAAACACUCCAGCUCUGUUAGUAUUCGACGCAGUAUCCGCCGGAGGAAGCAGGGGAAGACAAAGACCUCCAUUUCGUUGAAAGGACCAAGUGGAGAAGGACCUGGCUACGCUUGGAAUAUCCAAUUGGCACCAUGUAGCGAAAAGCAGUGUCUAGCAAAAUACAGUUGGAUGGCUCAUGAGAUCUAUUGCGGUGGAAGGUCCGGCAUUUGAAGGCGGAAUACAUAAGGCCAAUGACUGGGUCGCGUCAACUGGUGCAGGACUUCAGAGAAGACUGAUGGUAGGACCAUCGAAGCUAAAAUGUGUCCCAAGUACAACUAACUGGGACAUGCAACCGUUACUGGUUACUGGAAGUAAAAUUUUUACAAAACAAAAAUGCAUAUGCUGUGUCAUCAAAUGCCGCACCUCGUCCUAUCAAUAUUAUUCCAACGAUCAAUUCGGUCACCGAAAUAUUUCAUUGGACAAUUUUCGGCUAUACAAGCGGAGAAAAUUGCCAUGGAAGCGAAGAAACUUGAAUUUUAAAAAUGUAAAUUUGAAGAAGAGAAGAAAAUUAAA